UGGACCUGGCGGCGGCGGCGGCCGGACACGAGCCGGGUGGUCUCCUGGGGCAAGACAGACCUUCUCAGGCUGAGGGCCCAAGCAAGGCCCAGCACCAGCCGCCUCCGCGUCAGGAAGGACGGAGCGGAGGAAGGCAGGCCCACCGCCUGCCUGGCGGGCACCGAAGGCUUCGCUGGGGUUUCCCGGACACAGGAAGGGAGGGACGCGGGUCCGGGGAGGGCCAGGGGUUCGGAGCCCACAGCUGAGGUCCCGCCCGCAGAGAGCCGCCGGGAGGCCCAAGGGCUGCGAGGGUGGGCCUGGGAGGCGGCCGGAGGAGUCGGCCCAGGCGGAAACAGGCUCUGGGCAGAGGUCGUGCCUGCAAGCCAUGCUUCUCGUGGCACGUGGACCCUGCCAGCCUCCCACCCGCCUUGCCCUUGGAUCCCUGUGGGCCGCCAGUGCCCUUGGGCACUGGGGGAUCCGCGUGGCCCGGCACGUGGCCUCAAGGCCGUUCACAGAGAGGGGUCGCUGGGCCGCUGGGCCGGGGCUGGUGUGCGUGUGUCUGUGCGUGUGUGUCCGUGUGUGCGUGCGUGUGUGUGAAGUUCUGGGGCAACCCUGCGUCGGACAAGCCCUCUCUGCACCAUUUGCCCACCGGCCUCGGCUCAUCUCCUGUCUCUGUCUCGGUCUCUCGGUCAGCUUCUCGCCGUCUGUCCAAGGGCAAGCCGGGUGGGGUGGGGGUGGGGGUGGGGGUGGAGAGGGUGGUACGCAAGAGACAAGGAACCCACUGGAGAAGAAAGAUGAUCUCGGGCCGUGGUGGAGACGACGUCUGAGGGAGGGACCAGGGACCCCUAUGGGUGGCUCGCAGGAGGGGCCCCUGGGUGGAGAACUGAAAGGCGAGCGGGAGCGCAAAACAAGUGGCCGCACCUGCGGCAUAUGGAAGUUCCCAGGCCAGGGGUCGAGCCACAGCCACUGUAGAAGCAACGCCGAGUAGUUAUGUUGUGAGCCACACGGGAAGUCCGAGUUCUCGGCUGCCGAGAGGCGCUCAAAUGGAGCCGGGCGGCUGACGUCACGGGCGUCGGCGCGGAGGGGGGGGGGGAAAUGGGGGAGCGAGCGCCACCUGGUGGGCU
RNAcentral lists this long non-coding RNA (1103 nucleotides) under Sus scrofa (pig). RNAcentral describes it as "lncRNA (ENSSSCG00070010145.1)". Lineage: Eukaryota; Metazoa; Chordata; Mammalia; Artiodactyla; Suidae. The record is from RNAcentral.